GCCCAGAUGGCGGAAUUGGUAGACGCACUAGGUUUCAGGUCCUAGCGGUGGCAACACUGUGGAGGUUCGAGUCCUCUUCUGGGCACCA
RNAcentral lists this transfer RNA (88 nucleotides) under Betaproteobacteria bacterium. RNAcentral's name for it is "tRNA-OTHER". It matches the Rfam family "tRNA". Rfam says of the family: Transfer RNA (tRNA) molecules are approximately 80 nucleotides in length. Their secondary structure includes four short double-helical elements and three loops (D, anti-codon, and T loops). Further hydrogen bonds mediate the characteristic L-shaped molecular structure. tRNAs have two regions of fundamental functional importance: the anti-codon, which is responsible for specific mRNA codon recognition, and the 3' end, to which the tRNAs corresponding amino acid is attached (by aminoacyl-tRNA synthetases). tRNAs cope with the degeneracy of the genetic code in two manners: having more than one tRNA (with a specific anti-codon) for a particular amino acid; and 'wobble' base-pairing, i.e. permitting non-standard base-pairing at the 3rd anti-codon position. Lineage: Bacteria; Pseudomonadati; Pseudomonadota; Betaproteobacteria. The record is from RNAcentral.